AUUGAACGCUGGCGGCAUGCUUUACACAUGCAAGUCGAACGGUAACAGGCCGCAAGGUGCUGACGAGUGGCGAACGGGUGAGUAAUGCAUCGGAACGUGCCCAGUCGUGGGGGAUAACUACUCGAAAGAGUAGCUAAUACCGCAUACGAUCUAUGGAUGAAAGCGGGGGACCGUAAGGCCUCGCGCGAUUGGAGCGGCCGAUGUCAGAUUAGGUCGUUGGUGGGGUAAAGGCUCACCAAGCCAACGAUCUGUAGCUGGUCUGAGAGGACGACCAGCCACACUGGGACUGAGACACGGCCCAGACUCCUACGGGAGGCAGCAGUGGGGAAUUUUGGACAAUGGGCGCAAGCCUGAUCCAGCAAUGCCGCGUGCAGGAAGAAGGCCUUCGGGUUGUAAACUGCUUUUGUACGGAACGAAACGGCUCUGGUUAAUACCCGGGGCUAAUGACGGUACCGUAAGAAUAAGCACCGGCUAACUACGUG
Molecule: ribosomal RNA, 482 nt
Filed under: uncultured bacterium
Lineage: Bacteria
Description: partial 16S ribosomal RNA
Rfam family: Bacterial small subunit ribosomal RNA
Source: RNAcentral